CGAAAAACAUAAUUACUCACGAGCAACCACCACCACCUGCUUCCCAACGUUGCGACCGGAGUAUAAGCCAACGAGAGCCCGAGGUGCGCUUUCAAUGCCUUCGGCUAUGUCUUCGAUGUGGUUAAACAAGUUGUGGAUGCCUUCGUGCUGCUCAAGGCUGUAUUGGGAGAUCAUCCCGCAAAGAGCAACACGGCCAUGGAGUCUCAUGUUGCUUAGCACCGCUUCGAGCAUCUUCCCUCCCACGUUAUCAAAGUAGAUGUCUAUGCCAUCGGGGAAGUACCUAAUAAACAACCACACAAAUUUCUGAUUUACCAAACUUCGCGGUUUUUUGGUAGUUUUUAUGAAAUUUGUGUUGGAUACAAAAGGAUUCUUUUCUUGUAUAAGAACAUAAAUAUGUGUAUAGUGUGUUAAAUUACUAACUAUUCUUAUACGCAUUU
Salvia splendens (bonfire salvia) is the source of this 437-nucleotide long non-coding RNA. RefSeq lists it as uncharacterized. The transcript is spliced from 3 exons. Lineage: Eukaryota; Viridiplantae; Streptophyta; Magnoliopsida; Lamiales; Lamiaceae. The record is from RefSeq and is a predicted model, not a curated record.